RNAcentral lists this long non-coding RNA (12228 nucleotides) under Populus trichocarpa (black cottonwood). RNAcentral describes it as "long non-coding RNA (PTRI_LNC000777)". Lineage: Eukaryota; Viridiplantae; Streptophyta; Magnoliopsida; Malpighiales; Salicaceae. The record is from RNAcentral.
CUCUGUUCUGACACAAAUCCUGAAGCUUAAAGACAUUCCCAUUCAACCCAUAAACCCUAAGACAUCGUUUUUAAACAACCCAGCUAUACAGCAGAGCUACUAUGCUAUUCUCCUUUAGAAGCAUCACAUAGCCUCACCAUACUUGCACAAGCAAACAUGCAUCAAGCACCAUAAGGCAAGCAAUCCGGUUCAAACAGGUUAGGUUUCUAAAUCCACAACGAAACAUAAGUGUGGAGAACAACCUAAUUAAUGAUCACCUAACAACCAAACAAACAGACUUUCCACAACAUUCACGUCGACGCAGAUAAGCAGCAGAGGCAGAAGUGGGGAAAUACAUUAGCGCCAACGUUGUUUCAAAUUCGCACACAAGCAGCUUCUCAAAAACCUUAAAAACACUAGCUUACCAAUAAAAGACUCGACCAAACCACGUUACUGCAUUAAUUCCCCAUGCUUACGCAUACAAACAUGACUUACCUUGAUAAAUCCUUAAACAUUUAAUCAAAAUGCAGACCAAAAAAGAAUUGCCCCAAACAAACAAACCCUAAUUUCGCUUCAAUCACGCAUAAUUUUCAAAAACUCAACAUUGCACCCCACUUCUAGGGUUUCCAGAGUAGAAACAGAAUAACUCAAAAGGUAAAGUAAUAAUCACCUGAAUUACGAAAUUAAUAAGCUAGGACACGGCUUUGAGACAAUCAGUGACGACCUAAUUGCACACUCUCUCUCCUAGGGUUUUUUUUUUUUUUGGAAAUCACAAAAAGGAAAUGAAAUUUGCCCUAAAAGAUAACAACUCGUUGGAAAUGUUAGCCAUGAGAGCGAGCGAUUCUGCUUCAAGAAUCUCUCUGUCUAUAAAUCUGUUCUCUCUGCUGUUUUUUUCUCGGUUUAAUUUUUUAUUUUUUUCUUCGUAUUUAUGUGUGUGCUUGUUUUUUUCUUUUCGAAAUCGAAGGGGGUACUAUGCGAGACCUCUCCCUCUCUCCCUCUGCGCGUAGUACUGGGCUUCGGUUUUACGUCACAUGAAGAAGAAGACGACAACAUGGGCUUUUUCGUUUUCAUUGUUGGGCUUUUAUAUAAUUGUUUCAACUUUUUAAUUCGAGCAAAUUUAUAAUUUUUUAUGGACUCGAUAUAUUUUAAAAAAGAUUUUUUAAAAAUAUCAAUUUAAAACUGGAUUUAAAAAAAUUAUAAAAAAUAAUUUUUUAACUAAUAUGUCUAUCCUUGGAUAUAAUUUUUUGGUAUAAUGUUAAAUAAUAAAAUUAUAUUAUCGAAAAUAAAUUAUCUUAAAGGGUCAUAUUUAUCAAUUAACUUUAAAUAGAUGUUAAAUAAUGGAAUCAUUGAAUUAUAUCAUUAUUUUGUUGAUUUAUCAUUAUAAUUAUUGAAUCUAGCGGAUUGAUCCAGAUAUAUAGAUUUUAACAAACUAUAAUAAUAUGGUUUACUGUAGAUUUGUUUGGGUCAACUUCAAAAAAAAAUUAAAAAAAUAAAAAAAUAUAUUAUUUUAAAUAAAAUAAUUAAUUCAAAUUAAUCUGAUAACCUACGAGUAAAUCCGAUCAUUCAUACCUUAAAUCAAGUCUGACAAUUAUAUCUAGUACCUUAUAAUUAAAUAAAAAAAAACAUGGACAUUAUGAGGGACAUCAUGGUCUGUUCAUAUUAUAUGGUGUCGGUUUUUUAAUGGUUUAGUGAGUGUUUGUUUUUACAUUACAACUUACCUUUCAAAAUGUUUUUAAUCUAAAAAAAGCAUAGUUUUGAAACCUGUUCCGGCCUGGCUGGUCGACCCGGGACCCAGCCGAUCCGGGGCUGGAACCGAGUCAGGUUUAAGAAAAAAUAAGGAUAGGAAAAACUCGGGGGUGACCCGGCGGGUUGAUCCAAGGACCUAGAUGACCUGGGGUGAUCCGGUUAAAAACUCGGUUGCAACCCGUUGACUUUUAUUUUUUUUUUUACUAAAACGACGUCGUUUUGAUUAAAAAAAAUUGACCCGAGCAACCCGAUGACCCAGUCAAAACCCGGAACCCGGGCCUUGAACCGGGCCGGGUUUAAAACUAUUAAAAAAAACAUCAAAUUGAUUUUUUGGAUGGUUUUAAUGUGUCAAAAAUUUAAAAAAAAAUAAAAAAACAUUAUUUUAAUAAAAUCUUAAUUGAAAAAUAUUUUUAAAAAUCAAUCUACACUACAAUACCAUACACUCCCAUGAUACCAUUAAACCACACAACAUCUUACGCACAUACACUGUAUAUAUAAUUUUCAACCAAUCAUAAACUCUCAACUUUGCAAAGUAAGUAAAUCAUGUAUUUGGCACUUUUGCCAUUUUAGGGGGAAAAACUGUCUGCUCAAAUUAUAGUAUUUUUUAUUUUCUUCUUGCUUUUGGUGCAUGAUAGAGAGGAAAAGAUAAUAAUUUCCUAUCAUCACAACUAGGCAUGAACCUUUUGACACCUCGUGCAUCGGAAGAAAUUAUCACAAAUAAAUUUAUCGAUUAAUCAUAAAUUAGUUUUUAUAAUUUAUGAAAAUAAUUUAAUUAAUCUUUAUUUUAUGAUAAUUAAUUUAAUAAUCCAUGUGGUUUUGUAUUUGUUAUUAAUUUGCUGAACUUGUUAAACUUCUGUAGCAAGGCAUCGAUGCCUUUUCUAUUUUAUUUUCUUAUCAAAUUUUCAUACUUUAACUAUUAUUUUCUCUUUUUUAUGCUAGCUUUCAACAAAUAAAAACAUUGAAAUUAGAAAAAAAAAUGAAAACAAAUAGCAAGAAUUUGAAUGAUCAUCAACAUUACAUAUUGAAAUUACCCUGAAUGAGAUGGCAUCUAGAUUUUUUUAAUCAAAAUCAAAGAUUUUAUUAAUCCUUUUCCUAAUAUAAUACUUCAUGUUCUAACAAAAAUCUACAUAUGUUUAGUAAGGGGAAAUACUAUAAGUAUGAUAGAGAGAAAAAAAUAACCCAAUUAAAGUGACGCGUGAGUUAGGUAAUACAUAUAAGAGUUAUUAAAUAUGGUUCGACCUUGUAGACCAACUCAAUAAUUCAAUAACCUCGAAUCUGAUUUAAAUCGAGUUUUAUAUUAAAUUAAGCUGAGAAUUGAUCCGAUUAACCUAACAUAUCAAUUUAUAGUCAAAUCAAAACUUGGGUAAGAUUUGGUUCAACUUUUAAAUAUUUUUUCAAAGCUAUAUCGUUUUAAGCUUUAAAAAAACUUCAAAACAAUAUUGUUUUGGAUUAACUCACUUAAUUCAUGAUCCGAUCCAGGUUUUAUAACUAUAAAUAUAUCAAAAAAGAAGAAGAAGAAGAAUGACAACCUUUAUAUUCAUCACUCUUUAAUUCUUUUCCUUUUUUUUCCAUUUAAAAUGAGGUGAUCCACAACCAAAGAGGGCAAAAGCUUGACAAGCAAACAUGCCACGGGGGAGUUGAUGAGACAAAGAGGAUCACUUGCUUACGUGAACUUGUUCAAAUAAUUCAGCAGCCGGCACAAUGCUAAGUUCAAACACUAAGGAUAUCGAGAUUUCUUUCUAAUGACAACAUCAAAGAAAGAAAUGAGCAUGAUAACAAGAGAAUCAAGAGAGAUGGAUAAAAAUGAUGAUAGAAAAAACAAAAUCAAGGAACAACAUUAAGUUCUCUAAAUAUUAAUUUUUAUUUAAUGAUAGAAUUUAUAAAAGGAAAAAUGAUUUUACUUAUUAAGUGAGAACUAAGGAUAAUAGAAUUUUGUUAAUACAUCCAACAUGCUUUUCAAUGAUAACAUUGAAGAAAGAAAGGAGAGUGGUAGCUUGAGAAUCUAAGAGAGGGGAGGGGGUAAAAUGGUUAUGGCAAAAAAAAAUUAAGGGACAAAGUUAAAUUCAUAUGAACAUUGUUUUUUAUUUUAUUAUAGUAUUAAAAAAAUUGUUGUUAAGCGUGAACUAAAGUAGGCAAGUAAUGAUGUAUAAGAAAAUCCAAAUAGUUUAGGAAUAAUGUUUGUGUGUUGGAUGAUUGGUUAAUCUUUUGAUUCUAGCAAUUUGAUCAAUUCUUUCUGGCUAAGGUGCUUGGUAGACAAAAGUACUUGGUAGUUGGUACCUACAAAAAAUCACAUUUGAUAGAUCCGAGGACUUUUAAAUGUUUAAGUAAGCAUUUUUUUUCUAAAGAGAGAAAACAAUGAUAUUUUAGAGAGAGAUGCUCUAAAAAUAUGUAUAUAGUAGAGAAUGAAGAUUGUGAACCUGGAGCUUGAAGGAUUCAUGAGGUAUUUAUAGCUCAUGGGUCUUAUUCUUUUGUUGAGAUAAGGGGCUAAAAUGUAAUUUUACCCUGAUAGUUUUAAUGAGAGAUAAAUAUUUCUAACAUAUGCAUUAACGGGGGAUAAAUAUAUCUUACACAAAUAUUAAUACGAUGGAAAUAUCAUUAGUCAUUGUGAGAUUUUUAUACAUUAUCUCUUACACAACAUUAAUGUUGAUGAAAAAUAUGAUAGGCCCUAGAAGAUUUUUAUACACCUAAAGAUGAUAGGGAUGGUACAAUAAAAAAAAUGUAAUGAGUUCAUGGAAGCUGGGCUCUUUCCCCAGGUCGAGCCCAUGAGGGGUGGGCUUUUCCCCUGAGUUAAGCCAUUGAGAGUUGGGUUCGGACACGUUGCCUGAAACCUUGAAUUUUAGGCUUUUAAUGAGGGUUUAGGCCCGAUAAAUUUUGGUUUAUCAGUAGAAAUUGGAGAUUUCUUAAGAAACUAAUCCUCUAAAAUUUAGUGAUAUAUUAAAAGGCCUUAACAUUUUACUAUAGCAAUGAACAGUGAAAUGCUAAUGCCUUUUAUAAUUUGGUCCUCAAGUUUUUUUAUAUAAUUUCAUUCUUUAAAAUUGGGUUUAAUGUGUAUUGAACUUCAUAAUUUAUUUUGAUUCAUUUUCUAUAAAUUUAUCAUAGUCUUAUGAUCUACAUUUGGUAAGUUAACCCAAUUAACUCGGGUCAUUUUUUUUGCUCUUUUUUUUAAUUGAUUUAUUUCUCAAAUUCAUCAUUUAGUAUUGAGUUUAUUGUGAAUUCGGAUUCAUAUUUUUUCUUCUUUAUAUGGGGUUAUUAAGGUUUCAUGACCAGAGUGUCGAGCUUUGUGGGGUAAUUGGGUUGGCUUGGGUUUUUUUUUGUCCUUUUUAAUUGAAUAUUUUCUUUUCAAUUUCAUCCUUCAACAUUUGGUAGAUUGAGAAUUGGACUUUAUAAUUUUUAUUUAUUUUCUUUCUAUUAAGUUAUCCUAGUAUCAUUAUUCAAGUUUGACAAGUUUAACCUAGGUUAACCCAUGAUAUUUUUUUUAUAUUUUUCUUAAUAUAUUUUUUUCAAUUUAAUCUUUUAAAAUUGGGUUGAUUGAGAAUUGUGCUUCAUGAUUGAUUUACGUUUUGAUUUUUAUGGGGUUAUCAAGGUCUCAUGACCCGAGUUACGAGUUAACCCAGUUGCCUUGGGGUUUUUUUAUCCUGUUUUUAAUUUAGUUUUUUUUUUUUAAUUUCAUCCUUUACUUUUGAAUUAUUUGGGAAUCAGGCUUCAUAAUUUAUUUCGGUUUGCUUUCUAUGCGGUUAUUUCAGUCUCAUGACUCAGGUUUGAUAGAUUAACUUGGGUUGACUCGAUUUAUUUUCUAACUGAAUUUUGUUUUCAAUUUCAUCCUUUAAUAUAGAGUUAAUUGAGAAUUGGGCUUAAUAUUUUUUUCCGUUUGUUUUUAAUAAGGUUAUCAGGGUCUUAUGACCUGAAUUGCAAAUUUAACAGGUUAAUCUGAGUUGAUCCAAGUAAAUCCGAGUUGAUCCAAGUAAAUCAUAGUUGAUCCAAUAUGUUAUCAUCUCAAUAUUUUAAAAAAUAUAUCGUCUUGAGUUUCUUUAGCGAAAAUAUAUUUUUAUCGGUCAUUUGGGUUUUUUUUGGGCCUACAAAGUCAACUAUGUCAUAUCAUGUCAAUCUACACAUAAUUUAUUUUUUUCUGCUAAAAUACAUGUUAGCAACAUCUGAAUAAUUUUUUUUACAUUUAACAAAAUUUUGAUCUGACUCACAGCAUAGCGCGGACAAUUACCUAGUGCUUUACUAAAAGAUGUUGUAUUUAUUGUAUUUUUUAUUUUAACUUUUGUCAAUUGCGAUUUAUUUAUUUAUCUUAUACUUUUUAAAUGAUAUUGAAAUAUUUUAUAACUUUGAAAAUGAAAUUGAAAUUCAUAUAUGCUUGUCUUCUUAUCAUUCUUAAUGGAAAAGGAGGAUAGUGAAAAAAAUUGAGAAAAAAAAACAUAUUUAAAAAAUAUAGAAUCUAAUUAAAAUAAAGAAAAUUGAAAUUGAAAUUGAAACAACAAAAAAAAACCAGACUUUAUAAAGAUAGAGACUUGAGCACCUCCAUCGAAACUCAACCAAAAAGUGAAUGCAUUGUGAAAAUCUAAGCAAUCUAAUGGUAGGCAUUAUUGUAACAAGGCUUGAAUUGGCCCAUGAGUUGAUUCAAGACCACCGACUUGGAAUUUGAACUAGUUUAAGUUGAAAAAAAAAAAUUUCAAUUGACUUAGUUAAAAAUUUAAUUUUCAAUUAGUUGAGUUUAUUUUUAAAAAAAUUAAAAUUAAAAUAAUAUUAUUUUAAUUAAUUAAAAAAAAAAGAUUUUGAAGCUAUCACUUCUAACUUGUAACCUAGAUGGGUAUUAUAACUAUGGUAGGCAUGAUUGACAUAGAGAUGACAACGAUGUAGACCAUGUUAAUGAAUGCAAUGGAGUAAAAUGAUUUUAAUUUUUUAACUAACUUGUAAUUACAUGGAAUAAUCACAUGUUAAAAUUAACCUUAAUAAUUGCUUCUGUUGUUGCACUAGUUAUUAAGCUACUGCUAAUGUCAUUAAUAAAUCUUUGAUGUAACUUUUUGAUUUUUGUGUUUUUUUUAACUGUUAAUCCCAGCCCGAGAAAAAAACUGGGUCACACACCUAAGUUAACUCGGAAAAACUUAAAAAUAUAUUCGAGGUUUUAAUAUCUCACAUGAAAAAUUAAAAAAAAAUCAAUAUAUAUUAAAAUAAUAAAGUUUAAUAUCCUUCCAUAUUGUUUUAUUUCUUUUUAAUUUAGCUCUUAUUUUUUUGAUUUUUUUUAUUUUGUUAAAGUUUUUUUCUUUUCAAUUUAACUCUCCAAUUUAAAAUUUUUGAUGCCCUAAUUAUCAUCGGGACAAUUUGAAAAUAUAUAAAACAUGUAAGACCAAUAGUAGCUCUGAACAAUAAUGAACGGCGAUAUAAAAUGUCAUGUUGCAUGGCACCAUGCUCUGAUAGUUGUAUUGAUGCAAUAGUGCAAGGCUGGUUGUGAUCGAAACAUAAAGUAAUCAAUUAUUGCAAUCUGAUACAUUUAUUUCAAGCUCUCAACUCGCUUCAACUAAACAUGCAAUACCUAUAUUAUCACCUUUACUUCUAAUAAAGACUCAAGAAAGCACCAAAUUAAGUAGCUGAAACCAGAUUGAGACAGAGACAUGCCAAGUCAACCUUCGGAUGCACCAGGUUAAUGGCGUUUUUUCCCAGUAGCUACUUCCCAACCUUGUAAAAUGUGGUUCACAAUUUCCUCUAUGCCAAGUCCAUGCUUCACCUGCAGGUACAUUAUGAACAGCAAAGGAAAUAAGCGCAACUUUAAGAGAAAGGUUAUAGACAUAGGUUGUCUCACUGUAUACAGAGCAGCUCACGGCCUGGCAGACCAAAGAAUUAAAUCGUUCAAGAACCAAAAAUAUGAGAAGAUGACAAGUCCACAAGCAUUGAAUAGCUGGAUAGGGCAGGGUCUCUGUAACUAAAGGAUAGCCUAAACAUAAGCCAAAUUCGGAAGAGAGAACUGUGAAAUAACCAUCAUAAGAGGAAAAAGCCUAGAUUUCCAUAAACAACAGCAGAAGAAAGGAAAGAAUAUCUUAUUGAGGCAGAGCUAUUUGUUUCACUAAACAUGCCAUGACCAAUCGGAAGUGGAAUGUCUAGCUGUACACCAGGAUGGAAAUAUACGGAUUGAGUAUAUUUCCAAACAAACCGUAAAAUAGAUCAAUUCAUUGUGCAUAAAUCUGCAUAACAUUUCUUGGAAGCCCACAUGUUAUACGGCAAUUGUGAUUCACCUAUUAUGUUGUGUGUGCGCAUGAGUGUGUAGACUAGACUUAAAGACCCAAAAAGGCACCAUUAUAGACCCUCUUUUGACUGUGCAGAUGUCAUUCUUUAUGAGUAGAAGCGGUGAGGCAGUGUUAUGUGCUAGUGAUGCUGCAUUGUAGGAAUCAACAGAGAAAGGCAUGGGAGGAGGAGCGGACAAUCUGGACAGGGGAUAACAGGAUAACAUGGUGAAGGGUGAAGACUUGAGCAUUGUAUAGGGUGGAAACCCUAAUUCCUUCUGGGAUGCUCCAUGAAUACUCUAGAGAAUGCCCCAAUCAGAUGGUAGCACAUGCAAUCCCUCAGCAUUGGAGAGACUUGGUGUUAGUACCCUCCAUUGCUCAAGCUGACCCCUGCCACAACGUUCUCAGCUGUCAACACUGUUUACACCAUCUCCAACUCUCUCUAUUGCAUUCUUUCCUGUACUACAACAUCACAAGCAUACAACAAUGCCUCCCUGCUUCUAUUUAGAAAGAACCCGUAUCACAAGCAGUGUGGUCUGGCACUUCAAACACAAACUGGGUUGGUGAAAUUUGGCGUGUUCUUAAGAUUCUAUCAAUUUGUAUUGUUUCAUUUCUUUUCUUUUCUUAGGAUUGAUCUCCUAAUUCAUAUCUUUUCUUUUCUUAAAAUUGAUCUCCUAUUCUAUGUUGUAUCUUCCAAAGCUUUAGACAACAAAUUACAAGAUUGUCGCGAGCUUGCCACAAACAAAUGCAAUCAAACAUGAGAAACAGAGUGCCAAACUGACCUGAGCAAAAACAAAUGGCCCUCCAUCCCGCAUUCUAAGUGCAUCACGCUCCAUGACAACCAAGUCAGCUCCAACUGCUGGUGCAAGGUCAGUCUUGUUGAUAACCUAGGAUUGUACACAAUUAAUUCGGACUUCCUGGUAAUUUUACAUUUCUAUACUUGGCCAACAAGAUUGAGUCUGAGAGAUUGGGAACAGAAGAAGCAGCUAUGAGAAUGAGAAAACAUACAAGGAGAUCAGCUUGGGUGAUGCCUGGGCCACCUUUCCGAGGAAUUUUAUCACCGCCAGAUACAUCUAUUAUAUAGAUGAUAUAGUCAGCCAGUUCCCUGCUGAAGUUGGCAGCCAAAUUAUCUGCACCAUACAAGUUCAACUAGAUGAUUUCCUUUGCUAAUCGAUACAUAAGUGUAUACAAAUAAAUUUGUAAGGCAGCAGUACUCUUCUUACUAAAACUCAUCUGUCAACAUGUUAGAAAUAGAACUGCCAAAAUUCUUCAUCACUAUCUAACUUCUGAGAUCCUUACUUGAAUAAAAACAACUUGCCUGGAGUAAUAUACAAUAAAAUUAACUUUGAUGUUCAGCGAUCAUCAAUUUAAUGUCAGUUUACAGCCACUUAAAUAUGUAUGGUGGUAUUCAGUAUUGAGUUACCUCCACCAGAUUCACAAAGAAGAAGGUCUGCUUUGAACAAGUUAGAAAGCUCCUCGAGAGGGCCAAGGUUAAUGCUGAUAUCUUCACGAAUUGCAGCAUGUGGGCAGCCUCCAGUUUCAACAGCACGGAUCCUCUCCUCAGGAAGUGCUCCAUGCUUAAUCAAGAACUCACCAUCCUCUUUCGUGAAUAUGUCAUUUGUUACCUAAAAUAACCAUAUAGCUCUCCAGCACUUAAUCAAUCUCUCAAUCUACAUGGCCAUGCAUUUAAAACUAUUGACGAUAGAAGAGAACACAAAUUAUGCCUCAUCUGAAAAUUUUAGGUGAAAAGCUCUUAGUUGAGCCCGCGUUAUUUUCUUCUGAAAUUUUAGGCAAAAAACUCUUAGUCUAGCAACUUUGAGGCACAAGUAUGAGGAUCAUUUACAAAGAUUAAUAGCUAUUUACGAAUUAAUGUUUACAAAGAUCCAUAAACAAAAGAACAAUGAACUCCUUUCAGGGCUGGGCUGCAGCUGCUAAUUUGCUGCUUGAGAUAAAACUGGGUUCAUUAAGCUGGAACGUUUACGUUUAACAAGUUUGACAUUCAUAAUAAUCAAUAACUUCAAAAUCAAAUUCAACAAAAAAAUAAAUCUCAAGAACAAUUAGCAAAAAAAAAUCUCAGAAUCCCAUCUUAGAUUAUUACUCACAGCAGCAAGACUGUACUUGUCCCGCAACAAUUUACACAAAGACAGCAUCAAAGCUGUUUUCCUGACCAGAACAAAAAAUAACAUUCAAUCAGCGAUUAACACCUAGAAUUAAGUGUAAAAAGAAUUAGAAGGGAAAAUAGAGAGAUACCCAGUACCCACAGGGCCACCAAUACCAACAGUGAAAGCUCUUUCAUUGAAAUCCCUUGUGAGGAUUGGUUGUGCUCUCCUGCUAAAGAAGCCAGGAGAGUAUAUGGGCUCAUGUGAAUGUGGUGCUAGUCCAUCAUGGCUAUGGUACACCCUCCCAUCUGGGCCUACCCUUGAUGAUGUUUUCCUGCUCCAUUAUCAAGAAUCACACUUCUAUAAAUAUAUAUUUCAAACCCUGAAAACAACAAGAACGAAUGGAAUGAAUUGGAGAUAAGAAUCUUACUCAUCAUGGGUAUGGUCAUGCUGAUGGUGGUGGUGAUCAUGGUCAUGAUGGUGGUGGUCGUGGGUAUGGUGAUCUUGUGAAGCCAUUGAUUGAAGUCUGCAAAAGAGUUCGCCGUCGUGACUUGUGAGGGUACAAUAUGUAAACCAAGAACGCAGGAAAUGAACCUUGGUGCUGACAGCUGAGACACGUGGAUGGCAAUGACAGUGCUAGAGUGUUUAAAAAUGAUUUUUAAAAUUUUUAUUUUUUUAAAUUAUUUUUUAUAUAUAAUUUUAGAUUGUUUUGAUUUUAAUUUGUAGAUAUUAAAAAUAAAUUUUAACAAAAUAUUAUUUUCAUAUAUUUGUUUCGGGUCUGGAUGCACAACUGGGUGUCACUUUCGAGUUUCGACUUUGUUUGCAGCUUCCAAUUAAACGAUUGCGGGAACAAGUUUGUGGAAGGGGAGAUAGAAGCCAUAGUUUUUUUCUUUUCUGGGACCAUAUUACAGCAACAACAGCAGAGAAAGCGAGAUUGUAAAAGCAGAAUGAGAGACAUCCAUAUCAGAAAGGUAAUGUGACAAAAGCUAUCAAGCAUCAACAUCUCAUCACAACAAAUUAAGAUGUCUUAAUAUUAUAUAUUCCACCUUUGUUCCACAAGCUCGAUGAGCUUCAGAGGCAGUAUGACAUCAACAUGCUUGUGUCCAUGAACUGACCCAGUAAAUAAGUACUGCGUACAAGAAAAUAUGCAGGAACGGAAAUUUACACAGCAGCUUCAAAAUCAUUUCUUUAAAAUAGAUAAAGAAUUCAGUGAGCGUGCAUUUAGAGCAAUUUUACAGCAGCUUCAAAAUAGAAAAAAGGGAACGAAAGAACUUGCAUUUAGAGCAACUUUACAGCAAUGCCUCACGCCAUGGAAGUAUGAGUGCUGAAAAAAUAUGCUAGCUAGCCCCCUUGUUGUCCAAAACAGAUAUUUGAUGAAUGCCAAGAGGUUAUGGUAGAAAAUCCAUAAAAUAAAAUUCAUUGUUUUUAAAACAAUCUCCCCUCCACUUAAAAACACGAGAAAUAAAGCGUGGAUACAUCAAAUUUCAACAAACGCUCUUAUUCUCAUAUAAAAUUCUUCGUCACUAUUAUACAUUUUUUCUCUGUUCUGACACAAAUCCUGAAGCUUAAAGACACUGUCACUCAACCCAUAAACCCUAAGAAAUCGUUUUAAAACAACCCAACUAUACAGCAAAGCUACUAUGCUAUUCUCCUUUGCAAGCAUCACAAAGCCUCACCAUACUCGCACAAGCAAACAUGCAUCAAGCACCAUAAGGCAAGCAAUCUGGUUCAAACAGGUUAGGUUUCUAAAUCCACAACGAAACAUAAGUGUGGAAAACAGCCUAAUUAAUGAUCACGUAACAACCAAACAAACAGACUUUCCACAACAUUCACGUCGACGCAGAUAAGCAGCAGAGGCAGAAGUGGGGAAAUACAUUAGCACCAACGUUGUUUCAAAUUCGCACACAAGCAGCCUCUCAAAAAACCUUAAAACCACUAUCUUACCAAUAAAAGACUCGACCAAACCACGUUACUGCAUUAAUUCCCCAUGCUUACGCAAACAAACAUGACUUACCUUGAUAAAUCCUUAAACAUCUAAUCAAAAUGCAGACCAAAAAAGAAUUGCCCCAAACAAACCCUAAUUUCGCUUCAAACACGCAAACACGCAUAAUUUUCAAAAACUCAACAUUGCACCCCACUUCUAGGUUUCCAGAGUAGAAGCAGAAUAACUCAAAAGGUAAAGC